UCACAUUCAAGAUAUGGAUGCUGCUGCUGAGAUGCCUGAUGCCAUGGAAAUAAUAUUCCAGAAGGCUCUAGCUGUUGGGACGAGUGGUGCUGUAGACGAGUAUAUGGAGAACAAGGGUAGUGCAAAAAUCUCAUACUCCAAAGCAAUGGUUCUACUUUCUUUUAUUGUAGAAGAAGCAGCUUCUCUACCUCUGAAACCUCCAUUUAUACUGACUCCUACCAAUGAGAAAAGAAUACAAAGCUACAUAAUCAACUUGCAGUCCCAUCAGUCUCACUUCUAAUAAAGCAGCCGUUCUAUACAACUCCCCUGAAUCCCAUACCAAAUUUACAAAUGGUGUACAGGUAUUUUUAGAAACGACCUUCAUCAAUUACUGGUACAGCCUGGAACUCAAGGUCAGAUUUGACAUGCAAUUUUGAACUUUGCAUGCUGAAGUGGACACAAAGUAAUUGGUUGACAUGACUAGGGAAAUGCCGUGGC
Molecule: unclassified non-coding RNA, 477 nt
Filed under: Hevea brasiliensis (rubber tree)
Lineage: Eukaryota; Viridiplantae; Streptophyta; Magnoliopsida; Malpighiales; Euphorbiaceae
Source: RNAcentral